RNAcentral lists this ribosomal RNA (412 nucleotides) under uncultured Acidobacteriaceae bacterium. RNAcentral's name for it is "bacterial SSU rRNA". It matches the Rfam family "Bacterial small subunit ribosomal RNA", at positions 972 to 1382 of the family's 1533-position model. The record is from RNAcentral. Lineage: Bacteria; Pseudomonadati; Acidobacteriota; Terriglobia; Terriglobales; Acidobacteriaceae.
ACCCUAGGCUCGAAAUGCAGAUGACCAUCGGCGAAAGCCGACUCCCCGCAAGGGCAACUUGUAUAGGUGCUGCAUGGACUGUCGUCAGCUCGUGUCGUGAGAUGUUGGGUUAAGUCCCGCAACGAGCGCAACCCUUGUUUCCUGUUGCCAUCACGUAAUGGUGGGCACUCUGGAGAGACUGCCGGUGACAAACCGGAGGAAGGUGGGGAUGACGUCAAGUCAGCAUGGCCUUUAUGUCUGGGGCUACACACGUGCUACAAUGGCCGAUACAAAGCGUUGCAAACUCGCGAGGGUGAGCUAAUCGCAUAAAGUCGGUCUCAGUUCGGAUUGCAGGCUGCAACUCGCCUGCAUGAAGUUGGAAUCGCUAGUAAUCGCGGAUCAGCAUGCCGCGGUGAAUACGUUCCCGGGCCUU